UAUGUUCAUGGGAAGGCCAAUAAAUCCCUUCCCUUGCGCAUGGAAGAGGAGCUGGUUGAGCAAUGUAAGUGGGAUAGUGCUGUCCAGGCAUCACUACUGAAAAAUCGGAUGCACACGAUGUUGUUGGUACUGGCUGGGGGUUUUCCAGUUUNNNNNNNGGUCCUGAUUCCAGGGACCUGUUGAUCACCUCUUGAGGUGAAGAAAAAGGAGGGUUUGGCCUAAACAGAUGUUCGAAAAUCGCCAUGAUCAGGAACAUUGAUAUUAAUAUAGCUGUAGCAACAAAUCCAAAGGCAAUGGCAUUCAUUGAUGUUCCAAAAUUUUUCCAUGGAGCUUCUCUGUCGAUGACUCCAGUCUGAGAUGGGGUAGGGUCUGAAUUUGCAUAUAUGUUCCAUGGCUUUGAUCUUUCAGAACUAAAAUCGCUCAUAGUCCUGUUCUGUUCUUUGUUGAAACUUCUUUAGAUCGCGUGAAAUGGGCUACCAGACUGACAGUUCAGCAGUUGUUUUCUCUAAGGGAUGUCCUUGCUCAUUUGUGGAUUGCCAGUAGUACUGACCCUUAUUAUGAAUAGUAGUAGUUGGAAGGCAUUUGGUUUUGGUCCAGAGAAGUAGGAGCACACAUUAUCUGAGACUAGAGAUCCUAUAGCUUAGCUGCCAUGUAAAAACAAGACACCCACACUUCUCAAUGAAUAAUUUAAACCAUGUAGCUAGCUUUAUAGCCCAAUAGAAAAUGUAAAGACAAAGUUAUAUGAUAAUCGCAGCAGUACAAUAUUUCUCCUUUUUUUAUGUUUGAUGUUCUUGAUGCCUAACUUAAUGGAUACUAUACCUUGUCUCAAGAAGCAUACUUAAAAGAAAUCAAAAGCAUGGGCCUUCAUGUCUGGAGAGCUAAAAACAAAGAGUGGCCUAUUGGGUGCUUUAAAAAGUAGUCACCUUUAUGUGCUGAAUUACAUUAAGAGAUGGAAAAAUUUUCUUAACCCUAACCCUACCU
This 981-nucleotide unclassified non-coding RNA is filed under the name Hevea brasiliensis (rubber tree). Lineage: Eukaryota; Viridiplantae; Streptophyta; Magnoliopsida; Malpighiales; Euphorbiaceae. The record is from RNAcentral.